Molecule: ribosomal RNA, 379 nt
Filed under: uncultured eukaryote
Lineage: Eukaryota
Description: partial 18S ribosomal RNA
Rfam family: Eukaryotic small subunit ribosomal RNA
Source: RNAcentral
CAAUAGCGUAUAUUAAAGUUGUUGCGGUUAAAAAGCUCGUAGUUGGAUUUCUGCCGAGGACGACCGGUCCGCCCUCUGGGUGUGUAUCUGGUUUGGCCUGGGCAUCUUCUUGGAGAACGUAGCUGCACUUGACUGUGUGGUGCGGUGUCCAGGACUUUUACUUUGAGGAAAUUAGAGUGUUUCAAGCAGGCACACGCCUUGAAUACAUUAGCAUGGAAUAAUAAGAUAGGACCUCGGUUCUAUUUUGUUGGUUUCUAGAGCUGAGGUAAUGAUUAAUAGGGAUAGUUGGGGGCAUUCGUAUUUAACUGUCAGAGGUGAAAUUCUUGGAUUUGCUAAAGACGGACUACUGCGAAAGCAUUUGCCAAGGAUGUUUNCAUUG